CCGGAGGAAGCACCGGCUAACUCCGUGCCAGCAGCCGCGGUAAUACGGAGGGUGCAAGCGUUGUUCGGAAUUACUGGGCGUAAAGCGCGUGUAGGCGGUCGGGCAAGUCAGAUGUGAAAGCCUUCCGCUUAACUGAAGAAGUGCAUUUGAAACUUCCCGGCUUGAGUUCGGGAGAGGAGAGUGGAAUUCCCGGUGUAGAGCUGA
Molecule: ribosomal RNA, 204 nt
Filed under: uncultured delta proteobacterium
Lineage: Bacteria; Deltaproteobacteria
Description: partial 16S ribosomal RNA
Rfam family: Bacterial small subunit ribosomal RNA
Source: RNAcentral